Molecule: ribosomal RNA, 592 nt
Filed under: Wolbachia endosymbiont of Bemisia tabaci
Lineage: Bacteria; Pseudomonadati; Pseudomonadota; Alphaproteobacteria; Rickettsiales; Anaplasmataceae
Description: bacterial SSU rRNA
Rfam family: Bacterial small subunit ribosomal RNA
Source: RNAcentral
AUUAGAUGAGCCUAUAUUAGAUUAGCUAGUUGGUGGAGUAAUAGCCUACCAAGGCAAUGAUCUAUAGCUGAUCUGAGAGGAUGAUCAGCCACACUGGAACUGAGAUACGGUCCAGACUCCUACGGGAGGCAGCAGUGGGGAAUAUUGGACAAUGGGCGAAAGCCUGAUCCAGCCAUGCCGCAUGAGUGAAGAAGGCCUUUGGGUUGUAAAGCUCUUUUAGUGAGGAAGAUAAUGACGGUACUCACAGAAGAAGUCCUGGCUAACUCCGUGCCAGCAGCCGCGGUAAUACGGAGAGGGCUAGCGUUAUUCGGAAUUAUUGGGCGUAAAGGGCGCGUAGGCUGAUUAAUAAGUUAAAAGUGAAAUCCCGAGGCUUAACCUUGGAAUUGCUUUUAAAACUAUUAAUCUAGAGAUUGAAAGAGGAUAGAGGAAUUCCUGAUGUAGAGGUAAAAUUCGUAAAUAUUAGGAGGAACACCAGUGGCGAAGGCGUCUAUCUGGUUCAAAUCUGACGUUGAAGCGCGAAGGCGUGGGGAGCAAACAGGAUUAGAUACCCUGGUAGUCCACGCUGUAAACGAUGAAUGUUAAAUAUGGGAAG